Molecule: non-coding RNA, 113 nt
Organism: Acanthosepion pharaonis
Lineage: Eukaryota; Metazoa; Mollusca; Cephalopoda; Sepiida; Sepiidae
Source: the annotation of a GenBank genome assembly
UAUGGCUAUAUCACAUUGAAAUAACAGUUCCUGUAUGAUCACCAAAGUUAAGCAAUGUCAAGCCUGGUCAAUACUUAGAUGGGUGACUGCUUGGGAAUACCAGGCACUGUAAG